AUCGUAGUCAGACGCGAUGCCAUUUCGCCAGGCGGCC
This 37-nucleotide transfer RNA is filed under the name Moniliophthora perniciosa FA553. Its description in RNAcentral is "tRNA-Arg". The record is from RNAcentral. Lineage: Eukaryota; Fungi; Basidiomycota; Agaricomycetes; Agaricales; Marasmiaceae.